RNAcentral lists this ribosomal RNA (336 nucleotides) under uncultured bacterium. RNAcentral describes it as "bacterial SSU rRNA". It matches the Rfam family "Bacterial small subunit ribosomal RNA", at positions 72 to 422 of the family's 1533-position model. The record is from RNAcentral.
AAGUGGAGCAAUCCAUGAGUAAAGUGGCGACCGGGUGAGUAACACGUGACUAACCUACCUUUCGGUGGGGAAUAACCUCGGGAAACCGGGGCUAAUACCGCAUAAUGUCUUCGGACCAAAGGAGCAAUUCGCUGGAAGAGGGGGUCGCGGCCGAUUAGCUAGUUGGCGGGGUAACGGCCCACCAAGGCAAUGAUCGGUAGCCGGCCUGAGAGGGCGCACGGCCACACUGGAACUGAAACACGGUCCAGACUCCUACGGGAGGCAGCAGUGGGGAAUUUUGCGCAAUGGGGGAAACCCUGACGCAGCAACGCCGCGUGGAGGAUGAAGCCCCUUGGG